RNAcentral lists this microRNA precursor (95 nucleotides) under Arabidopsis suecica. RNAcentral's name for it is "mir-395". It matches the Rfam family "mir-395 microRNA precursor family". Rfam says of the family: mir-395 was identified in both Arabidopsis thaliana and Oryza sativa computationally and was later experimentally verified. mir-395 is thought to target mRNAs coding for ATP sulphurylases. The mature sequence is excised from the 3' arm of the hairpin. Lineage: Eukaryota; Viridiplantae; Streptophyta; Magnoliopsida; Brassicales; Brassicaceae. RNAcentral also lists the same sequence under 2 other names. The record is from RNAcentral.
AUGUUUCCUAGAGUUCCUCUGAGCACUUCAUUGGAGAUACCAUCUUUUAUCAAAUGGUUUUCUACUGAAGUGUUUGGGGGAACUCCCGGACUCAU